UUAAGAGUAAUCCACUUUUUGAUGAAGUCCAAGAAAGAGUCUCUGCUGUUGAAAGUCUUUUAGGAAAAUACGGCCAAGAAAUUGUUAAAGGUUUGAUAAAUGCUUGUGCUGGAGGUGUUCAGUCUUAUAUGUUACCCGAAGCUGCUGAUGUUUUAUGGGAAAUGCUACAGUUUUGCCAAAGGCCUACUACAUUGUGGUUUAAAAAUGCUUUAUCUGUUCUUCCUUCGCAUAAUGCAGCAGGUGCUGUAAAUGCUACACCAGAACAAAUUGAAGACUUUUACAGGGUUAUAUCA
Hydra vulgaris (swiftwater hydra) is the source of this 293-nucleotide long non-coding RNA. RefSeq lists it as uncharacterized. The record is from RefSeq and is a predicted model, not a curated record. Lineage: Eukaryota; Metazoa; Cnidaria; Hydrozoa; Anthoathecata; Hydridae.